Long non-coding RNA from Myzus persicae (green peach aphid), 506 nucleotides. RefSeq lists it as uncharacterized. NCBI's taxonomy places the organism in Eukaryota, Metazoa, Arthropoda, Insecta, Hemiptera, Aphididae. The record is from RefSeq and is a predicted model, not a curated record. The transcript is spliced from 3 exons.
ACACACAUUUUAUGUGUGUACAGACGAAAAAAAAGAUUUCCCUUCCACUCAUAUCGUAUCAUAUUGUGCUCACUUCUGUGUCUCUACCCAGCCCAAUAUAAUAGUUGGCCGCCAUAUUGCUACAGCUGCAGUCGACGUCGUCAAAAUCCGUUUUUAAGUGAUCGUCAAAGGAGAAAAUAUCGUAUGUAAGACUGGAGUAUGUACCGCGCCUUCAGACUUUCAAAGCUUGGCCACCUUCCAGUGGUCACAACUAAAUCAUUAUCGCUGCGAACUGCUUGCGAGAUCGUUAAAAUAUGGACACAAAAUGGUGUACACGCACAGAAAUAAUCAUUAUCCAUGAAAUAUUAAAUCAAACAAAUAUUUACCAUAUUUUAAUGGAAUAUUAUUAUUGUUUAUAUUUUAUGGUUUUUCUUUCAAUGAUUUGUUUAAAGAGUUUACUUAUAUUAAAUCGGUAAAUAUUUAUAAUUUACAUUUUACUACAUUAAAGUUCUCUACGGGUGUUCGGC